UUCAAGGCCUUCCCUGACAGAGCCCGCCCCUCGCAGGCCUGGAGGUUUCUCUGCAAAGGAAACAAACAUUCAAACCUCCGAAUGGCGUGGGUCUUCUCUAGGGUGUGUGCCUGUCAACAAGUCACCAGUUCUGGAAGAGCUAAGGGGAAUGUGUGAGUUGCAGGGAGCCCACGGAGGGCUUUUCCUGGAGAAGGCUGUUUACCAGGAGGCGCGUGCUUGCUUCCAGGAAGAGAAAACCCUGUUACACAGAGGAUGAAUUGAUUUAUGCAGACAGUUUAAAGGGUGUUCGCAGCUCUGAGGAAUGCAAGCGGCAGCAUGAUUUGAAGAGAUAACUACUAACCUGAGCUCAGAGUUUAUCAUUCCGGUUCAUUGAACAAAAGAGUCAUGGGACCAAAGAGAUGGCUCAGCAGGCCUUUCUCUUCAAGCUGGAAAGUGGCACGGCAGAUUCUCACUGCCUCCUGAUUACGCAGUGACUCCGUCUCCCUAACAAAUGGCCCGUGGAGAAUGAAGCGGAAAGCAGGAAUGUCCUCCUUGAAAGCGAUUAUGUGGAAAUUCGGAUUCCAAGGGUGGAGAGCGAAGCAUGUGGUUUUGUGCUGAGCUGUGUAAUACGUCAGGGCUCAGAAGACCGCGUGAGACAGGUAACAGGCAGCAGCAGGCUAUAUUUAGAGAAGAGAGAGAUGAGUGGAAUUCCGGGUCCUGUUGUCCACCUGUCCUGUCUCCAGGUGUUGACAUCUAAAUUAUGAGCCCAGUCAUAGGCUCCCUCCAUGUGCUUCCUUGCCCUUCUUCUGGCCCUGUAGACACACUGGGCUGCCUUUGAUCAUCAGUGCCAUGACUCACCCCCUUUCCACCCAUCCUGAGCACCAGAAAUCAAUAAGAGGAUCAUUUAAAAAUCCAUCCAGGGCCUGAGAAGGGCCCCUUACAAGACGUUGAAUCCUAAAUAAAGGAACAUCAGGGCUGGGAGGUGGAUGUGUUGUUGUUCUCUUUUGACUCAAAGAGAUCUAUUUGUAGCUGUGUACUUUCUCUUGCUAGUGUGGAAUUCUGCCUGGGCUGUUAAUCUAGAUUCUCCUUCAGAUAGCACACAAGAUGGACGGCAUUGGCUUAUUCAUGCUGCAGUGUGAGAGAACUUGAAAAGAGGAUAAAAGUAUGAUUAAUCACCUUUUUUUUUCUCCCUCAGCAUAUCAAUGUUAAAGAUUUGAACUCAAAAUUACAAGUCAGUUUAUGGUGAUUCACAGCAAUUAUUACUACUUACCUGUGUGACUAUAGAAAGUAGGAGUUUGUUUGUUUGCUUUCAAGACACUGUUUUACCAUGCUUAAAACAUUCUGUUUAGACCAGAAAGACCUCGAACUCACGGUGAUCCACUUAGCCCCACCUCCUCAGUGCUGGCAUUAAAGGCAUGUGCCACCAGGCCUGGUCUUAGAACUGUUCUUAUAAAUGGGGUAAAAUGUGCUGUUGAUGUUCCGGUGCCCCAGUGUCCAGUGUCUGAUCUGAGUGUGUUUGGAAGAUUUCAGGCAGGAUUUGGAGACACAAGUCCUUGUGUUUCUAUUGCUGAGGGAAGUUUUCCUUAAAAUGGCAGUUUCUGGUGUCCUCAUUGAGAUGAGAGUUUAGUCUCCCCAUCUUGACAGGAUUGUAGAAGAGCGUGCAUUUUACAAAAGGUAAACGGACUCUCAAUAAAAACACCGAGGGGCUAUGACAUUUCAGAAUCACCCUCUGGGGGAGGUAGCAGACACGAGGAAGGCUCUGGAGUCAGUAAAAGCUUCUUUCAGAUUGCUGGUCCAAGGUGUCAUAUCUGAUUAUUUUAGUGUCCAGGUGAUAAUCAAUAGUUUUAUUGAUUCUUUGAGAGUUUCACAAAGUGUAUUUUAGUGAUACUUAACCCCAGCUCCUCCAAGAUCCACCUUCAUGACCCUUAGCUCCGGACUCACUCAACUUUGUCUUCUUUUUCCCCCCUCCUCUCCCUCCUCC
Molecule: small RNA, 1960 nt
Filed under: Rattus norvegicus (Norway rat)
Lineage: Eukaryota; Metazoa; Chordata; Mammalia; Rodentia; Muridae
Description: uncharacterized LOC102548472
Source: RNAcentral